This 448-nucleotide ribosomal RNA is filed under the name uncultured bacterium. RNAcentral describes it as "partial 16S ribosomal RNA". It matches the Rfam family "Bacterial small subunit ribosomal RNA", at positions 29 to 523 of the family's 1533-position model. The record is from RNAcentral.
AACGAACGCUGGCGGCAGGCUUAACACAUGCAAGUCGAACGAGAUCUUCGGAUCUAGUGGCAGACGGGUGAGGAACACGUGGGAACAUCCCUUUCAGUUCGGAAUAACGUUGGGAAACUAACGCUAAUACAGGAUACGUCCUUCGGGAGAAAGAUUUAUCGCUGAAAGAUUGGCCCGCGUCUGAUUAGCUAGUUGGUGAGGUAAUGGCUCACCAAGGCUACGAUCAGUAGCUGAUCUGAGAGGAUGAUCAGCCACAUUGGGACUGAGACACGGCCCAAACUCCUACGGGAGGAGCAAGUGGGGAAUAUUGGACAAGGGGCGCAAGCCUAAUCCAGCCAUGCCGCGUGAGUGAUGACGGCCUUCGGGUUGUAAAGCUCUUUUGUCCGGGAAGAUAAUGACUGUACCGGAAGAAUAGCCCCGGCAAACUUCGUGCCAGCCGCCGCGGUAA